This 845-nucleotide ribosomal RNA is filed under the name Kocuria sp. JB68. RNAcentral's name for it is "bacterial SSU rRNA". It matches the Rfam family "Bacterial small subunit ribosomal RNA", at positions 66 to 916 of the family's 1533-position model. The record is from RNAcentral. Lineage: Bacteria; Bacillati; Actinomycetota; Actinomycetes; Micrococcales; Micrococcaceae.
GCUGAAGCCGGGUGCUUGCACCUGGUGGAUGAGUGGCGAACGGGUGAGUAAUACGUGAGUGACCUUCCUUGGACUCUGGGAUAAGCCCGGGAAACUGGGUCUAAUACCGGAUACGACCAGUCCUCGCAUGGGGUGCUGGUGGAAAGGGUUUGUACUGGUUCUUGAUGGGCUCACGUCCUAUCAGCUUGUUGGUGAGGUAAUGGCUUACCAAGGCGACGACGGGUAGCCGGCCUGAGAGGGUGACCGGCCACACUGGGACUGAGACACGGCCCAGACUCCUACGGGAGGCAGCAGUGGGGAAUAUUGCACAAUGGGCGCAAGCCUGAUGCAGCGACGCCGCGUGGGGGAUGACGGCCUUCGGGUUGUAAACCUCUUUCAGCAGGGAAGAAGCGAAAGUGACGGUACCUGCAGAAGAAGCGCCGGCUAACUACGUGCCAGCAGCCGCGGUAAUACGUAGGGCGCAAGCGUUGUCCGGAAUUAUUGGGCGUAAAGAGCUCGUAGGCGGUUUGUCGCGUCUGCUGUGAAAGCCCGGGGCUCAACCCCGGGUGUGCAGUGGGUACGGGCAGGCUGGAGUGCAGUAGGGGAGACCGGAAUUCCUGGUGUAGCGGUGAAAUGCGCAGAUAUCAGGAGGAACACCGAUGGCGAAGGCAGGUCUCUGGGCUGUUACUGACGCUGAGGAGCGAAAGCAUGGGGAGCGAACAGGAUUAGAUACCCUGGUAGUCCAUGCCGUAAACGUUGGGCACUAGGUGUGGGGGACAUUCCACGUUUUCCGCGCCGUAGCUAACGCAUUAAGUGCCCCGCCUGGGGAGUACGGCCGCAAGGCUAAAACUCAAAGGAAUUGACGG